This 402-nucleotide ribosomal RNA is filed under the name bacterium. RNAcentral's name for it is "partial 16S ribosomal RNA". It matches the Rfam family "Bacterial small subunit ribosomal RNA", at positions 355 to 776 of the family's 1533-position model. The record is from RNAcentral.
UGGGGAAUAUUGUACAAUGGGGGAAACCCUGAUGCAGCGACGCCGCGUGAUUUAGAAGGCCCUCGGGUUGUAAAAAUCCUUUCUAUGGGAAGAAUAUGACAGUACCAUAGGAAUAAGGACCGGCUAAUUACGUGCCAGCAGCCGUGGUAAUACGUAAGGUGCGAACGUUUUCUGGAAUAUUCGGGCGUAAAGGGUACGUAGGUGGGUAAGCAAGUUAGAAGUGAAAUCCUAUAGCUCAACUAUAAUAAGCUUUUAAAACUGCUCAUCUUGAAGUAUGGAAGGGAGAGUGGAAUUCCUUGUGUAGCGGUGAAGUGCGCAGAUAUUAGGAGGAAUACCGGUGACGAAGGCGACUUUCUGGCCAGAACCUGACGCUGAGGUGCGGAAGCGUGGGUAGCAGACAGG